This 513-nucleotide ribosomal RNA is filed under the name uncultured bacterium. RNAcentral describes it as "bacterial SSU rRNA". It matches the Rfam family "Bacterial small subunit ribosomal RNA", at positions 971 to 1501 of the family's 1533-position model. The record is from RNAcentral.
UUACCAGGGUUUGACAUGUAUCUGCAGUCUCCUGGAAACAGGGGAGGCCUUCGAGGGUGAUACACAGGUGUUGCAUGGCCGUCGUCAGCUCGUGUCGUGAGAUGUAGGGUUAAGUCCCGUAACGAGCGCAACCCCUAUCCUAUGUUACGAGUGUCUUAGGAAACCGCCUCGGUAAAACGGGGAGGAAGGUGGGGAUGACGUCUGGUCCGCAUGGCCCUUAUGUCCUGGGCGACACACGCGCUACAAUGGUCGGUACAAUGGGCAGCCAAGCCGUAAGGCGGAGCUAAUCCUAAAAACCGAUCUCAGUUCAGAUUGAGGUCUGAAACUCGACCUCAUGAAGUCGGAUUUGCUAGUAAUCGCACAUCAGCCAUGGUGCGGUGAAUACGUUCUCGGGAGUUGCACACACCGCCCGUCACGUCAUGGGAGUAGGUGAUACCCGAAGGUGUUCCGUCCGUAAGGAUGGAAUGACGAAGGUAACGCUUAUGACUGGGAUGAAGUCGUAACAAGGUAGCC